GCCUGGGUGGUGGAACGGUAUACACGCAUCACUUAAAAUGAUGUGCCGAAAGGCAUGUGGGUUCGAGUCCCACCCCGGGCA
RNAcentral lists this transfer RNA (81 nucleotides) under Candidatus Colwelliibacteriota bacterium. RNAcentral describes it as "tRNA-Leu". It matches the Rfam family "tRNA". From Rfam's summary of the family: Transfer RNA (tRNA) molecules are approximately 80 nucleotides in length. Their secondary structure includes four short double-helical elements and three loops (D, anti-codon, and T loops). Further hydrogen bonds mediate the characteristic L-shaped molecular structure. tRNAs have two regions of fundamental functional importance: the anti-codon, which is responsible for specific mRNA codon recognition, and the 3' end, to which the tRNAs corresponding amino acid is attached (by aminoacyl-tRNA synthetases). tRNAs cope with the degeneracy of the genetic code in two manners: having more than one tRNA (with a specific anti-codon) for a particular amino acid; and 'wobble' base-pairing, i.e. permitting non-standard base-pairing at the 3rd anti-codon position. The record is from RNAcentral. Lineage: Bacteria; Candidatus Colwelliibacteriota.